AGUGAACGCUGGCGGCAGGCCUAAUACAUGCAAGUCGAACGGCAGCACAGCAGAGCUUGCUCUGUGGGUGGCGAGUGGCGGACGGGUGAGGAAUACGUGGGAAUCUGCCCAGUCGUGGGGGAUAACGUAGGGAAACUUACGCUAAUACCGCAUGCGCCCUUCGGGGGAAAGCCGGGGACCUUCGGGCCUGGCGCGAUUGGAUGAGCCCACGUCGGAUUAGCUAGUUGGCGGGUAAAGGCCCACCAAGGCGACGAUCCGUAGCUGGUCUGAGAGGAUGAUCAGCCACACUGGAACUGAGACACGGUCCAGACUCCUACGGGAGGCAGCAGUAGGGAAUAUUGGACAAUGGGCGCAAGCCUGAUCCAGCCAUGCCGCGUGAGUGAAGAAGG
This 389-nucleotide ribosomal RNA is filed under the name uncultured bacterium. Its description in RNAcentral is "bacterial SSU rRNA". It matches the Rfam family "Bacterial small subunit ribosomal RNA", at positions 30 to 414 of the family's 1533-position model. The record is from RNAcentral.